RNAcentral lists this ribosomal RNA (704 nucleotides) under Micractinium sp. DZL-5-1. RNAcentral's name for it is "eukaryotic LSU rRNA". The stretch from base 263 to 416 matches the Rfam family "5.8S ribosomal RNA". The record is from RNAcentral. Lineage: Eukaryota; Viridiplantae; Chlorophyta; Trebouxiophyceae; Chlorellales; Chlorellaceae.
ACUGCCUGAUCGAUCACUCUGGUACCAAACGUCACCCUCGUUCGGUGGGGCUUCGGCUUCCCUUCGAGCGUCGGUCCCCUGGCUGGGGCUUUGCCGCAGUUCAGGUCCGACGGGCUUAGCUCCGUUGGUGUUCCCUUUUCGGAGGGACCCAUCGGUUGCUAAGUCGGUAAUUUGUAUCCAACCCAACCCACCCCAAACCACAAAUCACUCUGAAGCUAAUGUGUGAAUGUCACUUCGGUGGCUUCACUCUUUAACUAAAGACAACUCUCAACAACGGAUAUCUUGGCUCCCGUAUCGAUGAAGAACGCAGCGAAAUGCGAUACGUAGUGUGAAUUGCAGAAUUCCGUGAACCAUCGAAUCUUUGAACGCAAAUUGCGCCCGAGGCUUCGGCCGAGGGCAUGUCUGCCUCAGCGUCGGCUUACACCCUCGCUCCCUCUCUCUUGUGGAGUGGGCAGCGGAUCUGACCCUCCCGGCUCCGUUUCUUAGGAAGCGUCCGGGUUGGUUGAAGUGUAGAGGCUUGAGCAUGGACCCCGUCUGUAGGGCAAUGGCUUGGUAGGUAGCAUCGCUACACAACCUGCCGUCGUCCGAGGGGUUUGUGCUGGCGGCCCAGCAGGAAUUCGGUGGAUGGGUUCCCUGUCCCCGAAUGCUUCACUUUUCGACCUGAGCUCAGGCAAGACUACCCGCUGACUUAAAGCCAUAUAAAA